Molecule: ribosomal RNA, 497 nt
Filed under: uncultured bacterium
Lineage: Bacteria
Description: partial 16S ribosomal RNA
Rfam family: Bacterial small subunit ribosomal RNA
Source: RNAcentral
GAUGAACGCUGGCGGCGUGCCUAAUACAUGCAAGUCGAGCGAACAGACGAGGAGCUUGCUCCUCUGACGUUAGCGGCGGACGGGUGAGUAACACGUGGAUAACCUACCUAUAAGACUGGGAUAACUUCGGGAAACCGGAGCUAAUACCGGAUAAUAUAUUGAACCGCAUGGUUCAAUAGUGAAAGACGGUUUUGCUGUCACUUAUAGAUGGAUCCGCGCCGCAUUAGCUAGUUGGUAAGGUAACGGCUUACCAAGGCAACGAUGCGUAGCCGACCUGAGAGGGCGAUCGGCCACACUGGAACUGAGACACGGGCCAGACUCCUACGGGAGGCAGCAGUAGGGAAUCUUCCGCAAUGGGCGAAAGCUUGACGGAGCAACGCCGCGUGAGUGAUGAAGGUCUUCGGAUCGUAAAACUCUGUUAUUAGGGAAGAACAAAUGUGUAAGUAACUAUGCACGUCUUGACGGUACCUAAUCAGAAAGCCACGGCUAACUACGUG